Molecule: ribosomal RNA, 110 nt
Filed under: Callithrix jacchus (white-tufted-ear marmoset)
Lineage: Eukaryota; Metazoa; Chordata; Mammalia; Primates; Cebidae
Source: RNAcentral
GUCUAUGGCCAUACCACCCUGAACGUGCCUGAUCUCGUCAGAACUUGGAAGCAAAGCAGGGUCGGGCCUGGUUAGUACUUGGAUGGGAGAAGUUAUGGAUGCUAAGGAUA